AAAGCUGAGAGAUCCGGGAAAGGCCGCACGUUAAUAUGAGGAUUCGUAAUGGGUGUUUAUCGAAAGUGCUGCGAUGUCAAAAUCAGUUUCCUUUAAUCAGAAAAGAAGAUAUACACCAUCGAUGGCUGAGAAUGGCUCUAGAAGCUCAACUAUUUCUCCUCCAGACAAACCAUCACCUUCAUGUUGCAGUCAUUGUAGUCUACAUGAACUUAAUGCCUUGAAGAAGAGGAAGCUGGAGCUUCAAAUACAAUUGUUUGAGGCCCAGUUGGCGCGAUUUGAUGAGGAAUAGAUUAUUUUGUUAUUUGUUAUUAUUUUGUUAUGAAGAUAAAGUUUAGUUAUAUUAAAGAGUUAC
Molecule: long non-coding RNA, 352 nt
Organism: Dreissena polymorpha
Lineage: Eukaryota; Metazoa; Mollusca; Bivalvia; Myida; Dreissenidae
Exons: 4
Source: RefSeq, a predicted model, not a curated record